RNAcentral lists this ribosomal RNA (570 nucleotides) under uncultured bacterium. RNAcentral describes it as "bacterial SSU rRNA". It matches the Rfam family "Bacterial small subunit ribosomal RNA", at positions 339 to 910 of the family's 1533-position model. The record is from RNAcentral.
CUACGGGAGGCAGCAGUAAGGAAUAUUGCGCAAUGGGCGAAAGCCUGACGCAGCGACGCCGCGUGGGGGAUGAAGGUCUUCGGAUUGUAAACCCCUUUCGGGAGGGAAGAUGGAGCGAGCAAUCGUUCGGACGGUACCUCCAGAAGCAGCCACGGCCAACUUCGUGCCAGCAGCCGCGGUAAUACGAAGGUGGCAAGCGUUGUUCGGAUUCACUGGGCGUACAGGGUGUGUAGGCGGUUUGGUAAGCCUUCUGUUAAAGCUUCGGGCCCAACCCGGAAAGCGCAGAGGGUACUGCCAGGCUAGAGGGUGGGAGAGGAGCGCGGAAUUCCCGGUGUAGCGGUGAAAUGCGUAGAGAUCGGGAGGAAGGCCGGUGGCGAAGGCGGCGCUCUGGAACAUACCUGACGCUGAGACACGAAAGCGUGGGGAGCAAACAGGAUUAGAUACCCUGGUAGUCCACGCCCUAAACGAUGUCAACUAGGUGUUGGGAGGGUUAAACCUUUUAGUACCGUAGCUAACGCGUGAAGUUGACCGCCUGGGGAGUACGGCCGCAAGGUUAAAACUCAAAGGAAU